AUUGAACGCUAACGGCAUGCUUAACACACGCAAGUCGAACGGCAGCACGGACUUCGGUCUGGUGGCGAGUGGCGAACGGGUGAGUAAUGUAUCGGAACGUGCCCAGUCGUGGGGGAUAACGUAGUGAAAAUUACGCUAAUACCGCAUACGAUCUAUGGAUGAAAGCGGGGGAUCGCAAGACCUCGCGCGAUUGGAGCGGCCGAUAUCAGAUUAGGUAGUUGGUGGGGUAAAGGCCCACCAAGCCAACGAUCUGUAGCUGGUCUGAGAGGACGACCAGCCACACUGGAACUGAGACACGGUUCAGACUCCUACGGGAGGCAGCAGUGGGGAAUUUUGGACAAUGGGCGAAAGCCUGAUCCAGCCAUUCCGCGUGCAGGAUGAAGGCCCUCGGGUUGUAAACUGCUUUUGUACAGAACGAAAAGGUUUCUACUAAUACUAGGAGCUCAUGACGGUACUGUAAGAAUAAGCACCGGCUAACUACGUGCCAGCAGCCGCCGCGG
Molecule: ribosomal RNA, 500 nt
Filed under: uncultured bacterium
Lineage: Bacteria
Description: partial 16S ribosomal RNA
Rfam family: Bacterial small subunit ribosomal RNA
Source: RNAcentral